GCGGGUGUGGUGGAAUUGGUAGACACGCUAGACUUAGGAUCUAGUGCCGCAAGGUGUGAAGGUUCGAGCCCUUUCACCCGCA
RNAcentral lists this transfer RNA (82 nucleotides) under Myroides guanonis. It matches the Rfam family "tRNA". Rfam says of the family: Transfer RNA (tRNA) molecules are approximately 80 nucleotides in length. Their secondary structure includes four short double-helical elements and three loops (D, anti-codon, and T loops). The record is from Rfam by way of RNAcentral. Lineage: Bacteria; Pseudomonadati; Bacteroidota; Flavobacteriia; Flavobacteriales; Flavobacteriaceae.